CCUACGGGAGGCAGCAGUGGGGAAUUUUGGACAAUGGGCGCAAGCCUGAUCCAGCCAUUCCGCGUGAGUGAAGAAGGCCUUCGGGUUGUAAAGCUCUUUCGCAAGGGAAGAAAGAUUACAUUCUAAUAUAAUGUGAUUAUGACGGUACCUUGAUAAGAAGCACCGGCUAACUACGUGCCAGCAGCCGCGGUAAUACGUAGGGUGCGAGCGUUAAUCGGAAUUACUGGGCGUAAAGCGUGCGCAGGCUGUUUUGUAAGUCAGAUGUGAAAUCCCCGAGCUCAACUUGGGAACUGCGUUUGAAACUACAAGACUAGAAUAGGUCAGAGGGGGGUAGAAUUCCACGUGUAGCAGUGAAAUGCGUAGAGAUGUGGAGGAAUAUCAAUGGCGAAGGCAGCCCCCUGGGAUCAUAUUGACGCUCAUGCACGAAAGCGUGGGGAGCAAACAGGAUUAGAUACCCUGGUAGUCCACGCCCUAAACGAUGUCAACUAGUUGUUGGUAGAGUAAAAUCUAUGAGUAACGCAGCUAACGCGUGAAGUUGAACCGCCUGGGGAGUUACGAUUCGCAAGAUUAAAACCGUUAAGGAAUUGACGG
Molecule: ribosomal RNA, 591 nt
Filed under: uncultured bacterium
Lineage: Bacteria
Description: bacterial SSU rRNA
Rfam family: Bacterial small subunit ribosomal RNA
Source: RNAcentral